Populus euphratica (Euphrates poplar) is the source of this 1159-nucleotide RNA transcript. RefSeq lists it as uncharacterized. The record is from RefSeq and is a predicted model, not a curated record. Lineage: Eukaryota; Viridiplantae; Streptophyta; Magnoliopsida; Malpighiales; Salicaceae. The transcript is spliced from 6 exons.
CUCAUAACCUCCCUCCCUCCCGCCCGCGGCAAUUUCCCUCCCAAAAUGGUACGAGACACAGGAACUCCUCACCAGAUCUCCCUCUUCCGCUCUCAAAUCACAACCAGAAGAUUCAACGACGAAUCACUGCGAAUUCUCGAAUCACUUCUGGUCUUCAAAGACGUGAAGUCGCAGAUCGAGACUCGAUCGGACUUGAAACAGUUCUUGAGAUUCGAAUCUCUCUCUAUUUUCCACGAAAUCAAAUAUAAAACAGUUUAUCAGAAGCUUUUCAUUCUCCAAUUCUUCGUUCGCGCUUUCGCUCUCAUAGGCGACACCGAGAGUUGUUUGGCGCUGAAAUACGAGGCAUUGCUUUAUCGUGAUGUCAAGUCUAGCGGUGACCAAUCACUACAUGUUUCGUAUUUGGAAUGGCUAAAUUUUGCUCACCAUUCGCUCGAUCAGGGCUUCUAUUCUAUUGCUACACAGGCAAGUGAAAAAGCCCUAGCAUGCUUUCAAAAGAAGGACGUCGCAGAUGCCAAAACAGGCGACUUCUUCGAAAAUGCGCGGGUUAUUGAUGAUAUAAAGAGGCUUAAGGAACGUGCCAUGAGGUCUGCAGCUUCAGGCUCUGUCCAGGCACAGGCGGCAGAGUAUUUGAAAAGGAAAGUUGUCGAGAAGAGCAGAACAUGUUCUUCAUUUCGUACAGAAACAAAGAGUGCUGCUAGCACUCUGUUUAGAAAUGGAAUCAAGAAGCGGCAUGCGCGUGAAUUGCGUAAACACCAAAGUUUGCAGCAGAAUAUUGAAUUUUAACUUCGUUGCCAAUUUUAUUUGCCCUCACCGAAUUCAUUCACAUGACUGGAAAGUCGUAUGAAGCCUUCCCUUGUCAUUUACAAUCACUUACCCCCUCAAUUGUAAGGAUACUGAAGACAAAGAGAACGCUGUGCUAUUCCAUUCAAUCAAAAGAACAUCAAGAGGCUGAUACUACUGUGCUGGAUCUGAAUAAAGGACAGGCUGGUAGGAUAGUGGUCUGCAUGACAUGCUCUGCUGGCUUGGCUUGGAUUAGCCAUAGCAAGAUUGUAUGCGCCAACCAAUAAAAACAAUUAGGGCGGCAAGAGCAUUUAUGUUCCUGACAAUGCAUUAUCAUUGUAUUUUACGGUAGAAUAACAAGACAAUAAUGAAAAUGAGC